Molecule: ribosomal RNA, 980 nt
Filed under: Clinostomum complanatum
Lineage: Eukaryota; Metazoa; Platyhelminthes; Trematoda; Strigeidida; Clinostomidae
Description: 16S ribosomal RNA
Rfam family: Bacterial large subunit ribosomal RNA
Source: RNAcentral
UAGCUUUGAGGCUAUUUAAAUCUUUUUUUCUUUUGGUUUAGUACCUUUUGCAUCAUGAUUUGUCGAAAUUUAUUGAUUAAUUUCAAUUUUCCGAAAAGUCGUGAUUUUUUUAUAAUUUGUUUAGAACUAAGGGGGUAUCAGGAAGAUACUUCUAAAAAUUAUAGAAGGUUGUGAAAAAUAAUUCGUACGACUUUAUAUCUGAUUGCCGAGUCUUUAUAUCAGUGUAUUCACUCUGCUAGGAUGUGGGGUGAAAUUUAAGAGAUUUAAUUGCGAGUUUAUUUGCCUAGGAAUAAAAGUGUCCGGGGGUUAAUAGUUUGUUACUAAAGAGUUUAAGUCGGAGGCAAUCUUUAAUAUAGUCUUGGCAUAGUUAACUAGGUUAAUGAUAAUGAUAGAAUAAGUAGGUGUGUUAAAAUGAGUGUCUUUUUUCUAGAGGUGUGCCGGUCUGUUUAUUAAAAACAUUUCUAUUUGUUGUGUAUAAAUAGUAGUGCCUGCCCAAUGUGUAUAUUAAUGGCCGCAGUAUUUUGACUGUGCAAAGGUAGCAUAAUUAGUUGCCUCAUAAUUGGAGGAUUGUUUGAAAGGUUUGACCAGGUAUAAUUUAAGAUGAUGCUCUCAGCUGAAAUUGGUUAUGGGGUGCAGACCCCUCAUGUAUAUAAUUAGACGGAAAGACCCCGAGAUCUUUACAUUUAGGUGUUUGUUUGGGGUAAAAGCAUAUUUUUUAUAUGUUUUUAGAGCCUUUAGGGCUAUAGGUGAAAGUUACCUCGGGGAUAACUGGGUAAGAGACAAUUAGAGACCUUAUCGAUUUGUUUAGUUGCUACCUCGAUGUUGACUUGGGGACGGGUAAAGGCGCAGCAGUUUUUAUCAAAGGGUCUGUUCGACCCGUAGAUCCUCCCAUGAGUUGAGUUAAGACCGGCGUAAGCCAGGUCGGUUCUUAUCUAUUGUUCUAAUGGAUUAGUACGAAAGGAAUUUCCAUUAUUUAAGUU